CCUGCUUAAGGCAGGAAGAAGGAACAGCAGAAGAGCAUCGUGCUGAGUGUGAGAGGAGUGAAGCUUGUCUUUACCUCUGAAAGCGUGACUGAGGCACUGCUGAUCGUAAUUGCCAGACUCCCUGAAUUCCUGUCGAAUUUACUGCCAGCCACAGAUGAUCAAAAAGCCUGGCCAUCCCCAUCCCUUCUGCUUUGUAAGAAUCCUCACUGUUGGGACCUGGCAGUGCCCAUGUUGGGACCUGGUCACCUCCAGCUGCAUUACUGGAUCUCAGUUUGUGACCAAGGAAUAUACAAUUUCUUUGAAGCCAAAGUAGAGUUACUGGCAAAGCCAAGACU
Molecule: long non-coding RNA, 335 nt
Organism: Lepidothrix coronata (blue-crowned manakin)
Lineage: Eukaryota; Metazoa; Chordata; Aves; Passeriformes; Pipridae
Exons: 3
Source: RefSeq, a predicted model, not a curated record